UACAGGGGGGGCAAGCGUUGUUCGGAAUUACUGGGCGUAAAGGGCCAGUAGGCGGCCAACUAAGUCCGACGUGAAAUCCCCAGGCUUAACCUGGGAACUGCGUCGGAUACUGGAUGGCUUGAAUCCGGGAGAGGGAUGCAGAAUUCCAGGUGUAGCGGUGAAAUGCGUAGAUAUCUGGAGGAAUACCGGUGGCGAAGGCGGCAUCCUGGACCGGCAUUGACGCUGAUGAGCGAAAGCUAGGGGAGCAAACGGG
This 253-nucleotide ribosomal RNA is filed under the name uncultured bacterium. RNAcentral's name for it is "partial 16S ribosomal RNA". It matches the Rfam family "Bacterial small subunit ribosomal RNA", at positions 524 to 776 of the family's 1533-position model. The record is from RNAcentral.